RNAcentral lists this transfer RNA (65 nucleotides) under Dipodomys ordii (Ord's kangaroo rat). It matches the Rfam family "tRNA". Rfam says of the family: Transfer RNA (tRNA) molecules are approximately 80 nucleotides in length. Their secondary structure includes four short double-helical elements and three loops (D, anti-codon, and T loops). Lineage: Eukaryota; Metazoa; Chordata; Mammalia; Rodentia; Heteromyidae. The record is from Rfam by way of RNAcentral.
GGUGGCUCAGUGGUAGAGUGCUUGCUUUGCAUGCAUGAGGACCUGGGUUCGAUUCCUUAACACCA